Molecule: long non-coding RNA, 7027 nt
Filed under: Medicago truncatula (barrel medic)
Lineage: Eukaryota; Viridiplantae; Streptophyta; Magnoliopsida; Fabales; Fabaceae
Description: long non-coding RNA (MTRU_LNC005620)
Source: RNAcentral
AGAGUUGAUUCGUCGAAGUUUGGUGCAAGUAUCCUCAGUUAGAAUUGAUGGAAAGCCUAAAAGUUGUUGUGUUCAUGAUCUGAUACGUAUGAUGAUCCUUGAAAAGUGUGAGGAUUUAAGUUUUUGCAAGCAUUUCAAUGAAGAUGGUCAUUCAUCUUUAAGUGGAACUAUUAGACGCCUAUCAAUAGCAACCAGUGACUUAAAUGCAUGUAAUGAAAACUCACAUAUUCGGUCACUAUUUCUUUUCACAGAUAAAUCAAAUAAUGCAAAGGAAUCCAGCGUGAAUAGAAUCUUGAAAAAGUACAGGACACUGAAGGUGCUUGAUUUUCAAGAUGCCAGAUUUUUUAGGGAUCUUAAACAUUUUAGAAGUCUGAUCCACUUGAAAUAUUUAAGCUUCAAGAAUUUAUACAUACAACAUAGCCAACAUGGAUUUCCCAAAUGGAUUGGUAUUCUCCUAAAUCUGGAGACCUUGGAUCUAAGGGCUUCUCCUAAAUCUUCUGAUUGUUUCAAUUGAAGGAUGUUAUAGGAGGCAUGGAAUCUCUACAAACAUUGAGUGGAGUGAAAAUUGGUAAGGGUGGAAUAGAGUUAAUUAAAGAGUUGGGAAAGCUAAGACAGUUAAGGAAGUUGACCUUGUUUUAUGCGAGGGCAGAACAUUUUAGCGCUUUAUCUUCCUCAUUGAAUGAGAUGCGACACUUAGAAAAAUUAUGCAUUGUGUCAGGAUGGGAAGAUGGUUCUUAUUAUGAUGUCAUUGAUUUACAUUUGGUUUCGCCUCCACCUAUGCUUCGAAUUCUUAAACUUGGUGGCAGGUUGGAGAAGAUUCCAGAGUGGAUUCCUCAACUUAAAAAUCUUGUUAAGUUGAGAUGCGACACUUGGAGAAAUUAUGCAUUGUGGGAGAUCAUUUUGUUUAUGCUGUCAUUGAUUUACAUUUGGUUUCGCCUCCACUACAUAUGCUUCGAAGUUUUAAACUAUAUGGAAAGUUGGAGAAGUUUUCCUCAACUUAAAAAUCUUGUUAAGUUUGAUUUAGCAAAUUCCUUCUUAACUGAUGAUCCAAUUGUAUUUAUAAAACAUGCCAAACUUGUUGUCCCUCUCAAUCAUCUCCAAUGCUUAUGAAGGCGAAAGUUUACAUUUUCAUGAUGGAGGUUGUCAAAAUCUAAAGGAACUGUACAUUGGAGACUUGCGCAACAUGAAUUCAAUUGUUAUCGAUAAAGGAGCAUUGCAUUCUCUAAAAAAGUUUGAGUUAUUCGGAAUGCCCAACCUCGUUCCUUCUGGGAUCCAACACUUAGAGAAGCUUGAAGUUCUCAAUUUUUGGGCUGUUCCCCUUGCAGAAUUUAAUCUUAGUCAGCCAAAUCAAUUCAAAACUUUAAGGAUUAAUGAGAUAGAAAUCACACGCCACCCAUUUUUUAGAAAAGGUGAACAUUUUCUUCCAUAUAAUUGUAAAAAUGUAUUGGCAAUAUUUCUGGUUCUGUCAUCAAAGUAAAACUUUUUUUAUUAUUCCUAAAUUAUUUUAUUUAUUUUGCCUCACUUUACAUUUCUUCUGGCAUAUGCUUUGUAUUUUUUGCUAUUCUACAUCAAUAAUUAUAAGGUUUUUAUUGUGUUGUGCCCUCAAGAGGUUUUUGGUUGGAAUCCUUACAUUCUGAGCAGUCUAAUCUCCACAAUAGUAAUAAUUUGUUGUUAAUCUGUAGGUUUCUGGUUUCAUGGGUGAUGGAAUUUGAUUACUCCAAGUGGACUUUUGAAAAAGUGGCAUCUUUAUGUUCUUGAUUUGGCAUAUGAAACAUCAGUUAUUGAUUCAGGAUACUUUGUAAUUUUCUAUUUGAGUGAGUUAUUUGUGAUGUAUUGUAUUGUAUGCAACAUGUUGUGAGAGUUUUCCUUUCAAGGAUUAUAAGACCUUAAUUCUCUGUUGAUCUCCCUUCUAUCUACCUGGUUUAUUGAGUUGAUGGCGUCAUUUUCGUAUCAACGCUCUGUACUAUGCUACACUUUUACACUUAGGUACAGUACUGAAGAAAAAAAACAUUAACAAGCUGAUAUGUUAUGUGAUUCUUGCAUAUAUACUGAAAGUACGUUUGAAUGGAUUUUUUUUGUGUUACAGACUUUUUGUGUUUUGUACUCAUUCUCAAAGUUUGACUAUAUGGUCUUUCUUCACUUUGCUAGACAGAAAAUUGAAUUUGAAUGAAUUUGUACGAAAUUCUAUUGUGUUUCAUCUAGAAAAAAAAAAUUAUUGCCAAUCAUGGUUUGAAAAAUCUGGAUAUGGGUUCUCUGUUUUUCUUGUUCAUUCAUUGAUGAAUUUUACAUGUCCAAUUAUGGAUGUUUGUUGUUUUAAUUGUGGUAUUUGGUCAAAUUGAACGCCAAAACAAAAAUACAACGAGGAGUUUCCUGAAUCCAUACACAAGUGCUUUUAUGGUGUUGAGAGAAUGAUUCAGUAAAUAAAUUUAAAAAGACCAUCACCCUAUCAAAGUGCAGCCCAACCUUCAUUGCCAUAGCCUCUGCCGUUUACAGGAGUUCGCCUCAACAACUACUCCGCCAGCAUCACAAAUUAAUGCAGACAGUCCCCAACUCCCAUCCCCAGCUGGGCCUGGAGCAUCAAUAUUCAGUUUAAACCAGCUUGGUGAUGGUGGAGUCGAACGCACAUUAGAAGUUAGGAUAGGAACUGGAAUGCCUACAAUUUGGCUCUGCAGAAUCUGAGCACUUAAAUUGCCUUCAGUUUGCAAUGGAAUUAUGUGCUCAGAACACCAUAUCAGCCGCACCAGGAAUAUCAUAUCCUUCAAAGCAUCUCUUGUUCCUAUUAUAGGACUGAUUUAGUCACAUGCUCCGGUUCAUUGACAAUCCACUUGUUCAAAGAGAAAACAUUAAGAGAAGAAGCAAACCACACCCUUCACAUCCAGUUACAAUCCAUAAAAUCAACCGCAAGCCUAAUCAAUCGUACAUGACACGCCAUAUAAGCUGAACAUGACGUGAUAUUGGUCUUGAGAUUCCAAAGUUUGGAUCAUAUAUUCUAUUUAAUAACUAUGAGUUACACAUAGUUUUUGUCCUUGUAAAAUCAGCAUGAGUUUUAAUCUAUGAUCCUAGCUCUUUAGCUUCCACUUUGUAGUAUUUCUCUGCUGCGGGUUUUAAUCUAUGAUCCUAGCUCUUUAACUAUGAGUUACACAUAGUUUUUGUCCUUGUAAAAUCAGCAUGAGAUUUAAGUCUCUGCUGAAGGUUUUAAUCUAUGAUUUUGUUUUAUUGUACUAGUGAGUUGACGGUAUCAUUUUCGUAUCAAUGCUUUGUACUAUGCUACACUUUUACAGGUUUAGACACAACCAGAAUUUGCAUUAUAUAUUUCUAUUUUAUUCGGUGACAAGCUGAUAUGUUAUCCCAUUCUUGCAUAGAUACUGAAAUUACGGUAGCUUCAACAGGAAAAAUAGCGCAAACAUAAGCCUCCUUCAAUGGUAAUGCAUGAGAGGGUAAGCAAAAUAUUGUAACGGCUUGGUGGUUACCGGCAACAUGCAAUUAGUUAUAGAAGUCCAUUUGUUUAAUGACUACCUAUUAUAUGUGACCAUCAUCAAAUAUAUCAUUAAAUUCAAAUAUGAACCUUAAAAAAGAGUUUUAACUUACGUUAUCCUUCUGCCAGUACAAAGCUUAAGUUAUUCUAAUAAUCAUUCAAGAAAAUUUGUAAAACUGUUGUUCACGUAAGAGUCUAUUUUGUCCUUGUUAACAAUUGUCUGAUUAGAAUUCUUUAGGAUUUUCUUUUUCUUUUUUGUAAACAGGUCCAGGGCCUUAAUCCUAGUUUGCAAUUUAUUUUUAUUGCUUUAAUAAAAAAUAAAAAUAAAAAGUAAAAAUAACACAAAUUUUAGGAAAUGAAAAUAGAAAAUGUUAGGUCUAACUUUUUUAAAAAUUUAAAGUUCUAAAUGUGAUAGUGUAGAUUUUAAAAAUAAAAAUAAAAAAAGGAGUAAUAUUAUGAGUUUAAGCAUGCAAGAAAAAUUGAUCCAUUUAACUUUUUGAAGUGCAUCCACAAUUUCUACUCCAAAAUUCCUGAGCAAACAUUAAGAUCAAUCCUUCUUUUUUUUUCGAAACAUCAUUAAGAUCAAUCCUGGAUAAUAUUUUAAUAUAUAUACAAUUAUUACUUUAUAAUAUUUAAUAACAAUUCUUCAAAAAAAAAAAUUUCAAUAUUUUUAUCAUUAACGUCAUCUUUAUCAUUAAUUUUUUCUCAUUUAUAAACGCAAAUGUGUUUCGAUGCUCAACUGGUGCUCCGCACCGAUCAUGUAUUUAACACGAGUUUGUUCCUAGUAAUUUUAAAAAACAUGCUAGUUUAAAAAAAAUCUCAACAAGUUUGCCAAUCCAUUAUAGUUCAUACUUGUCCUAUCCUUAUCCAAUUAGAGCUCACAAGGUUGCAAAUCCAUUACCACUCAUACUUGUCUUAUCCUUAUCCAAUUUCAGUUCACAAAAGUCCUAGAAUCCAUUACCACCACUCAAAAUAUCGCUCGAUGUCACAUGAUAAACAAGUAUUUUUUUUCUUAACUAAAUGAGAAUGAAAUGGUUUUGAGUGUCUUAUCUAAGCAUUGAUGUGUUUUACACUGUGAUAAAUGUAAAGUAAAAUAUAUUGAAUUGAGUGAUAAAAAAAAUAUUAAUUAUAGUUAUAUUGAAAAUUAGCUAAUGUUUGAUUGAAAAGUCAGAAUGGAUUAAUUAUUUUAAAACAAUUUUUUUUUUCUUUUCAAAUUACUCAUUAAAUAAAAGCUUAAUUAUACUUUUGGACCCCUAUCUUUUCAAAAGUUGCGGUUAUGAACCCCUAACUAAUUUAAAUACAAAACAGCCCCCUAAGUUUUGAUUCUUUGGCAGUUUUGGACCCUCAGUCCAUUGUUGACUCGGUCAACGCUGACGUGACACCCUAAGUGAGGUGCCACGUGUCAAUUUUUUUUUUUUUGUCUUGGGGGUUCAAAACUGCCAAAGAAUCAAAAUAUAGGGGGCUGUUUUGUAUUUAAAUUAGUUAGGGGUCCAUAACCGCAACUUUUAGAAAGAUAGGGGUCCAAAAGUGCAAUUAAGUCUAUUUUAAAAAAACUAAUGGAACUACUUCCAUUAACUACAUAGAUUGCAACGGACCAGGAUCUGCUGCUCUAGUAAAACACACAGUUUCACAAAGUUUUGAAUUGUGACCAUUGGAUCUUUAUUGGCAUGGGACUAUUAUAGUAUUAUCAAACCAUCCAAUGGCUGAAUUGAAACUGUGUUGUACUUUACAGCACCAAAUCCAUAUCCAGAUUGCACCAAACAAGUCUCAAUUACGAGUAAAUUGUAGUCUUCGUCUCAUAGAAUAACAAAAAAUCUUACAAUGGCAGAAAUGGCAGUGUCUUUUGCUAUUAAGCAACUGCUUCCAUUGUUAACGGAAGAAACCAAACUACUGAAAGGUGUUCACAAAGAAUUUGCAGACAUUAAAUAUGAACUGGAAAGCAUCCAAACCUUCCUUGAAGAUGCUGAUAGAAGAGCUGCAGCUGAAGGAGACAACACUACUGAAGGAGCCAAAAUGUGGGUGAAGCAGGUUAGGGAAGUGGCUUUUCGUAUAGAAGAUGUCAUUGAUGAUUAUAUGAUCCAUGUAGGGCAGCAACCUUGUGAUCCUGGAUGCAUAUCUCCACUCCAUAAGGUUGCUCGUUUUCCCAAAACUAUGACUCCUCGCCGUCAAAUAGCUUCUGAGAUUCAAGACAUCAAGUCAGUUGUUUGUGGAAUCAAAGAAAGAAGUGAAAGAUAUGGUUUCCAAAUCCAAGGAUCUAGCAGCUUUAGAGGAAACCAAAACGCCAAAUGGAACGAUCAACGAAUGGCUGCUUUAUACAUCGAUGAAGCUGAAGUCGUAGGCUUUCAAGAACCCAAAAAUAGAUUGAUUGAUUGGCUGGUAAAGGGAAGAGUAGAGCGCACUGUCAUCUCUGUAGUUGGGAUGGGAGGGCAAGGAAAAACCACUCUUGCUAAAAAGGUUUUUGAUAGCAAAGAGGUUGUGGGACACUUUGAAUGUCGUGUAUGGAUCACAGUGUCACAAUCAAACAACACUGAAGUAUUGUCGAGACACAUGUUGGAGAAGCUUUACGGACAAAAAGGAGAAAAACCUCCUAAAGGAAUCACUGAAAUGGAUCGAGGUGCAUUGAUUUCUGAGUUGAGAAAGUACUUGCAGAAAAAGAGGUAUGUUUUUGUGUUUGAUGAUGUAUGGAACACAAGUUUUUGGGAUGAGAUUGAAUAUGUUGUGAGUGAUAAUAAAAAUGGUAGUAAGAUAUUUAUUACCACAAGAAAUAAGGAUGUUGCCAUGUAUUGUAAGAAAUCUUCAUUUAUUGAAGUGCAUGAACUACAACCAUUAACUGAAGAACAAUCAAUUGAUUUGUUCAAUAAGAAGGCAUUUCAAUUUGACUUGGAAGGAUGUUGUCCAAAAGAGCUCAUUGAUAUAGCUUUUGAAAUUGCUAGGAAGUGCAAGGGCUUACCACUAGCAAUUGUGACUAUUGGUGGUCUUUUAUCUACAAAGGGGAGAAAUGCAUUUGAAUGGCAGAGAUUUAGUGAAAAUAUGACUGUAGAGCUAAGGAAUGAUUCCCAUUUGACCAGAAUAAAAAAGAUUUUAGGUCUUAGCUAUGAUGAUUUGCCUUUUUAUCUUAAAUCAUGUUUGUUAUAUUUUGGAAUGUAUCCAGAAGAUUAUGAAGUUAAAUCAAAGAGAAUGAUACAACAAUGGAUAGCUGAAGGGUUUGUGAAAGAGGAAAGUGGGAAGACUUUGGAAGAAGUUGAAGAAAGAUAUUUAACAGAGUUGAUUCGUAGAAGUUUGGUGCAAGUAUCCUCAGUUAGCAUUGAUGGAAAAACUAGAAGUUGUUGUGUUCAUGAUCUGAUACAUAUGAUGAUCCUUGAAAAGUGUGAGGAUUUAAGUUUUUGCAAGCAUUUCAAUGAUGACGAUCAUUCAUCUUUAAGUGGAACUAUCAGACGCCUAUCAAUAGCAACAAACUCCGGUGAUUUCAGAGCAUGUAUUGAAAACUCACAUAUUCGGUCACUAUUUCUUUUCACAGAUAAAUCAAAUUAUUUAGAGGAAUCCAUCCUGAAA